GUGUCGUUCACUGUCAAGUGUUACCUAACCUGGAACUUUCGCGUCAAGUGAUUCAUGUCGAGUUUUUUCGUUUUCGUUGGUCAGUAAUUAAUUUCCGUACUACGUCGCGAUAAGAUGAAGCGGAGGAAUAUAUAAAGUUUGUGAAAUGCUUGUGUGUUAGUGAAAGUCCUGCAACUUUGGAAGCAUGGGCCUAACCUAACAGACUAAACGAUGUGGGUAGUCCUCGCCAGUAGUUCAGCUUUACGUGCUGUGAACUAGGCUACAUAUUACUACUGUGUACAUCUUUUGGCUCAUAAUGUGACCAGCCAUCUUGAGAAGGUAAGAAUGUGCACUAAUCUUGAGGUGUAUGGAUGCCUUAACCAAGCAUGAACUGGAGGUCUACAGUCAUUGAAACUAAGUAAAAUGCCAGUGUUGAAAAAGAAGAGGGGUUCGUUGAGAGAUUGCUACAGAAAGGCAUUGAACAGGAAAAAAACAGUAAGUGGCCAGAAAGCAGCUAAUGCCGCUCCAUGGAAGUAUGAGCAACAAAUGUCUUAUUUGAAGGCGCAUGUACUUCAAAAAAGACCUCAAACAAAUAGUUUGGGAGACAUCGGGACGCAGGACGAGAACCCUGACUCAGGAGUAGGAACCUAUGAUGAAGAGACGUCGGGAGACAUCACACCGCAUGAGUUACCUGAAGAAGACGCUGCUGCACUUUCGGACUCUGUCAGUAUUCCGCCCCCUACUAAAAGAGCGGCUAGGACAUCAUCCUCAGAAAGAAGAAAGUGCAAUACUUCAGCAUCCGCUCACGAUAUAAUUAAAACAUACUUUUCAAAUAAAAGUUCAGGUAGAGACCAUCUAACAGCAUACUUUAAAAUGGUUGAGGAAACUGUCAGAACUUUCUCCCCCCUUCAACAAGUUGAAAUAAAAACUCUAAUCAGUUCUUUGCUCUCUGAAUAUGAAUACAAAAACUUAGUUCACCUCCAUCGCAUCAUAUUUCCCCAUCACCAACCUUCUCAGGUUGUAGUUCAACACCUGUUCCUUUGACAUCACCAUCGUCACGAGCUUCUGAUGAAGCACAAUGCCCUUACCCAAUACCAUCUGCACCAGUUGGAGCUUCAUCACAGCUCCUGGCCGUAUCACCAUCUUGUACCGAAUACAACCCACAUUUCUUCCUCACACAUCCAAAACUAAUCAUAAUCAGUACACAAAUUUAUAAAUUUUGUUAAUCACAUGUUCUUACACUAGGGAGCAGUGUAGCCACUCAUAAAAUGUGUAACAAUAAAUAUUGUUGGAAAAAUACAAAACAUUGUGCCUACAGAAAGUUAUUUUGGUUUGUGUUUGUUAACUAUAAUAAUUGUUUUCACAAAAGGAAUUAUUGUGAACAUUCAUUAAGUGUGUAACAAUAGAUAUUGUUGAAAGCAUGCAAAACAGUGUGCCU
Macrobrachium nipponense is the source of this 1417-nucleotide long non-coding RNA. RefSeq lists it as uncharacterized. NCBI's taxonomy places the organism in Eukaryota, Metazoa, Arthropoda, Malacostraca, Decapoda, Palaemonidae. The record is from RefSeq and is a predicted model, not a curated record. The transcript is spliced from 3 exons.